GGGGCCUCAAGAUAGGGCCUGCUCCACAGGGGCAAGGGAAAGCCAGGAGGAUGCCAGGCAUAGAGACACGGGAAAGACACGGGCCUGAGCAGAAAGGUCCUUUGAGGCCACUGUCUGGAUAUGCUCAGUGUCCAGCACACACGGUGGAGGAGCCAGAACGCAAGCAGGAGGCCUGUUGUCCUGGCAACGGCCGCUGCUGUUUCCCAGCCUGCUCCUUCAGGCCUCUGCACAAACACCAGCCUCUUGCAGGUGCUCCUGGGCCUCUUCACAGUUGAUGUAGGUACUGAGCACGUCUUCAACUGUCACCUAACAGAGCUUUUUUUUCUGCCAUUUCCUCCGCAAACUGUGACGCGUCCAGACUUUGGGAAGCAUCCUCCCCCAGCCUAUGAGGUCCACCUGCAACCCAUCAUCCCCCAAACUCGUUGAGAAGCUGCUCUCCAGGGAGAAAGCUGGGCACACUGGUGCACCAUCUCGUGGCCUCCCAGAGUGGUCCCAGCUGCUGUAGGGCAAGUGCGUCAAGCGCGUUCAACCACAGAGGGCCUGCCAGGGACCUUCUAAGGCCGCGACCGCAGCCUGACAUUAAGAAGAUGCUCUUCAGUGACUGCAGGACCAAACUGUGACCACUGGGUGAAGUUUCCCACCCAGCGGUUUCGCCUACAGCAAACCACACUUUAAUGAGCUCUGGCUGGGUCCGUGAUGUGCCGCCCGUUCAAUCCCCGGCGUCCUUCUGGCCUUCCCUACUGAAGGAGCUAGUGGCCGAGGGUUCUGCCUCUGUCCGCAGCCGCGGCCCGCACACCUGCCCAGGUGGACUCGGGGCGCCCUCUCCUGGCCUGGCGUGGCCGCGUCCUGCGCAGCUGCAGCCCCGCAGCUCCCGGGGCCUGGGGAUGGCCUGUGGGCGUGUCCGCCCGGGAGCCCAGCCCGGGAGCCUCCGACAGCUUGCAGCAGGGGACACUGCGGUCACAGACGCUUCUCCUGCCCUGCCCGUGCCCCCCCCCACCCCGUCCACUCCUGCCCGCCCACGCUGGGGCCGCCACACCUGCUCCUCUGGCCUCAUCUGCCUGCUGGACCUGCUCCACCCAUAGGACAAGAGCCCCCACUUGGUCGGCAGGUGUGCGACGCGGGGGCUGCCCCCGCAGACGGCCCGUGCUGCCUCGGUCCUCCUGUCUUCCCCAUCCGACUCACGCAAGGACGGCUGGGUCUCCUCGUCGUGGGGGAGGACUUGUGGCUGCCGGUGAAGACCAGCUCUCCCCCAGACCCCGACCCCCUCCCUGUUCUCCUGCCCGCCCCUCCCCACAGCUCUGCCCCAGAUGCUGCGGCCAGGGUCAGCUGUACUGACUCAGUGACUGCUGCCGGGUCCCCUGCUCAUGGUGCUGACGUCCCUCCUCUGUCUGCCUCCAGCUCCCUGCCCUGCCUGCUGCUCCGUGUGAGAGCCUUGGGGAUGCCCACACACUCAUUCACCCCGAUCUCUGUGCCAAAUCCAUCAUCGUCCAGAAUUCACCUGCAAGGCCAGUCCAUCCAGAGAUUCUGACUCAGCGGUUGGAGCGGAGCCCGUUUAUCUGUCUUUAAUCCAGAUUCUGAUGAAGAGCCAAGACGCAGAGCCAUGGUCUUGUUUUGAAUUUUUCCUCCCUGAGCCAGCAAAGGGCACACCCAGAAGGAUCGAUAGGAGGGUAUGUUUGAUGGGCUCUACAAACCUUAUUCUCAUUACCUUAAAGAUGCAGAUAAUAACCAGAAGUCCUCGGGCUGCUGUGGGGCCGAAGGGACCUGGUCCAGACGCUUUGCACACACGUGCAGUUCCCCCAACAGCGUACGGCCAGCCCUGCUGCUGCUGUGAUUUUACCGUGACCGCCGGUGCUCUGCCCAGGGGUGUCUGACUCACCCAAGUGUGUCCGGUUGCACUGAGCGCCGGGCACAGAGGGAAAUGGCAUGGAAGCGAUUUCAUCACCCAGUGGCUUAACUGUGAACACUUCCCUUUCUGGAAAAGAAAAGCUUUCCUACCACACUAACUCCACUCGCAGGACAGACAAUGGCCUCCCCGCAGGAGGACACCAUACUGGAGGCCCACACCAGCUCUCUGCCACCCUGUGUCCUCUACCUACCUGAUGAUGCUGAGCGAGCGAGGGAGGGAGGUGCUGGCGCGUGGCGGGGGGGGGCGGCAGGGGAGGAUGAGGCUCAGAACAUCCCAGGUGAGCUGCUAAAAGUCGCACAAGCAGGAAGUGGAAGAAUUAAAGCUUGAGCCGAGUUAGUAUCAUUCCAAGUGCAGUAUUCUUGCCCCUUUCAACACAAAUGACCCCAACAAUGAUCCUGUUAAUGUGAUCAGUGUGUCAACCUCCAUCCUGCUCACCAGCAUUCACAAAUGCACAUGGACAGGAAUCCUGCCUUUGUUCACGUGAACCCGAUGAGCCACGUGCCCCUGGGCUUAGGGCACCCUGCCUCCUCUGCUGGGUCCCGGUCCCCAUUAGCAAACUGACUCCUCCUCCCAGAUCCCAGCACACGUUGAUGCGUCCAGGCGGCUUCCCUGUGACCUACGU
Molecule: long non-coding RNA, 2528 nt
Organism: Vulpes vulpes (red fox)
Lineage: Eukaryota; Metazoa; Chordata; Mammalia; Carnivora; Canidae
Source: Ensembl